UACCUGCAGCUCGAGUGGUAACCGCUAUUAUUGGGCCUAAAGCGUCCGUAGCCGGUUUGGUAAAUAUCUGGGUAAAUCGUGAGGCUUAACUUCACGAAUUUCGGAUAGACUGCCAGACUUGGGAUCGGGGGAGGUCAGAGGUACUCCAGGGGUAGCGGUGAAAUGUUGUAAUCCUUGGAGGACCACCGGUAGCGAAGGCGUCUGACUAGAACGAGUCCGACGGUGAGGGACGAAGCCCUGGGGCGCAAACCGGAUUAGAUACCCGGGUAGUCCAGGGUGUAAACGAUGUGGGCUUUGUAUUGGAGGUCCCACGUGGGCGUCCAGUGCAGAAGAGAAGUUGUUAAGCCCACCGCCUGGGAAGUACGGUUGCAAGGCUGAAACUUAAAGGAAUUGGCGGGGGAGCACAGCAACGGGAGGAGCGUGCGGUUU
Molecule: ribosomal RNA, 429 nt
Filed under: uncultured archaeon
Lineage: Archaea
Description: bacterial SSU rRNA
Rfam family: Archaeal small subunit ribosomal RNA
Source: RNAcentral